This 514-nucleotide long non-coding RNA is filed under the name Homo sapiens (human). Its description in RNAcentral is "non-protein coding lnc-MTPAP-2:1". The record is from RNAcentral. Lineage: Eukaryota; Metazoa; Chordata; Mammalia; Primates; Hominidae.
CCCCAUCCCCAUCUCACUGCCCCCUUCAAGAUAUUCUACCUCUUUAGGCCGAACAAAUGUAGACCUUCCAUUAUUAGUUUAGUAUUUUACCUGCAAGUCCCAUCUCACUAAAAUUAUAAAACCAAACUGUAACCCAACUGCCUGGGGUACUCUUUCUCAAAAGCUCUCAAGACUGUUCCCUGGGCCAUGGUCACUCAUACUGGCUUAGAAUAAACCUCUUUAAAAUAUUUUACAGAGUUUGGGGUAUUUUUCCAUCAGCAGAUUACAGACUCAGGACAAGUAAUUUCUACUGAAUAACCAAAAGAAAAUACAUUUAGCAAACCAAGAAGCAUACUCUAUUAGCCAUGGCAUAAAAAUAGACAAACGUAAGCCAGCAGUGUUGCAGAACUUUCUUUGCUAAAAAUAAAGAGGGGGAACAAGUAGAGAAGUAAAGGAGGAAUAAUAAAUCUCAAUCACCAGGAAUACACCAUUUAAACUCUUUUCUGCAGCCUCCUCAGUUUUAUGUAAAAAUAAA